AUACGUAGGGGGCGAGCGUUGUCCGGAAUGAUUGGGCGUAAAGGGCGCGUAGGCGGCCCGGUAAGUCUGGAGUGAAAGUCCUGUUUUUAAGAUGGGAAUUGCUUUGGAUACUGUCGGGCUUGAGUGCAGGAGAGGUAAGUGGAAUUCCCAGUGUAGCGGUGAAAUGCGUAGAGAUUGGGAGGAACACCAGUGGCGAAGGCGAGUUGCUUGACUGUAACUGACGCUGAGGCGCGAAAGGGUGGGGAGCAAACAGGAUUAGAUUCCCUGGUAGUCCACACUGUAAACGAUGAAAGCUAGGUGUAGGGGGUAGCGGCCCCUUCUGUGCCGCAGUCAACACAAUAAGCAUUCCGCCUGGGGAGUACGGCCGCAAGGUUUAAACUCAAAGGAAUUGACGGGG
This 397-nucleotide ribosomal RNA is filed under the name uncultured bacterium. RNAcentral's name for it is "partial 16S ribosomal RNA". It matches the Rfam family "Bacterial small subunit ribosomal RNA", at positions 523 to 918 of the family's 1533-position model. The record is from RNAcentral.